Small nucleolar RNA from Ictidomys tridecemlineatus (thirteen-lined ground squirrel), 71 nucleotides. NCBI's taxonomy places the organism in Eukaryota, Metazoa, Chordata, Mammalia, Rodentia, Sciuridae. The record is from Ensembl.
UGGACUAAUGAUGACCACUGUGAUGUAUGAGUCAAGGAUCGUGAUGAUAGGUCUGGAAGUCUGAGGUCCAA